This 1662-nucleotide ribosomal RNA is filed under the name Salmonella enterica subsp. enterica serovar Typhimurium. RNAcentral describes it as "partial 23S ribosomal RNA". It matches the Rfam family "Bacterial large subunit ribosomal RNA", at positions 161 to 1773 of the family's 2925-position model. The record is from RNAcentral. Lineage: Bacteria; Pseudomonadati; Pseudomonadota; Gammaproteobacteria; Enterobacterales; Enterobacteriaceae.
AAUCCAUAGGUUAAUGAGGCGAACCGGGGGAACUGAAACAUCUAAGUACCCCGAGGAAAAGAAAUCAACCGAGAUUCCCCCAGUAGCGGCGAGCGAACGGGGAGGAGCCCAGAGCCUGAAUCAGCAUGUGUGUUAGUGGAAGCGUCUGGAAAGGCGCGCGAUACAGGGUGACAGCCCCGUACACAAAAGCGCAUGUGCUGUGAGCUCGAUGAGUAGGGCGGGACACGUGGUAUCCUGUCUGAAUAUGGGGGGACCAUCCUCCAAGGCUAAAUACUCCUGACUGACCGAUAGUGAACCAGUACCGUGAGGGAAAGGCGAAAAGAACCCCGGCGAGGGGAGUGAAAAAGAACCUGAAACCGUGUACGUACAAGCAGUGGGAGCACCCUUUGGGGUGUGACUGCGUACCUUUUGUAUAAUGGGUCAGCGACUUAUAUUCUGUAGCAAGGUUAACCGAAUAGGGGAGCCGGAGGGAAACCGAGUCUUAAUUGGGCGUUAAGUUGCAGGGUAUAGACCCGAAACCCGGUGAUCUAGCCAUGGGCAGGUUGAAGGUUGGGUAACACUAACUGGAGGACCGAACCGACUAAUGUUGAAAAAUUAGCGGAUGACCUGUGGCUGGGGGUGAAAGGCCAAUCAAACCGGGAGAUAGCUGGUUCUCCCCGAAAGCUAUUUAGGUAGCGCCUCGUGAAUUCAUCUCCGGGGGUAGAGCACUGUUUCGGCUAGGGGGCCAUCCCGGCUUACCAACCCGAUGCAAACUGCGAAUACCGGAGAAUGUUAUCACGGGAGACACACGGCGGGUGCUAACGUCCGUCGUGAAGAGGGAAACAACCCAGACCGCCAGCUAAGGUCCCAAAGUCAUGGUUAAGUGGGAAACGAUGUGGGAAGGCCCAGACAGCCAGGAUGUUGGCUUAGAAGCAGCCAUCAUUUAAAGAAAGCGUAAUAGCUCACUGGUCGAGUCGGCCUGCGCGGAAGAUGUAACGGGGCUAAACCAUGCACCGAAGCUGCGGCAGCGAACGUAUCACCCAAGACAACUUUACGGAGUUGACGAUUGACGGAGCGAAGCGACGUCAAAGCGUUCAUUAAAGUCGAGUUGGCUUAGGGAUACGUUCGUUGGGUAGGGGAGCGUUCUGUAAGCCUGUGAAGGUGUGUCGUGAGGCAUGCUGGAGGUAUCAGAAGUGCGAAUGCUGACAUAAGUAACGAUAAAGCGGGUGAAAAGCCCGCUCGCCGGAAGACCAAGGGUUCCUGUCCAACGUUAAUCGGGGCAGGGUGAGUCGACCCCUAAGGCGAGGCCGAAAGGCGUAGUCGAUGGGAAACGGGUUAAUAUUCCCGUACUUGGUGUUACUGCGAAGGGGGGACGGAGAAGGCUAUGUUGGCCGGGCGACGGUUGUCCCGGUUUAAGCGUGUAGGUGUGUGUUCCAGGUAAAUCCGGUUCACUUUAACACUGAGGCGUGAUGACGAGGCACUACGGUGCUGAAGCAACAAAUGCCCUGCUUCCAGGAAAAGCCUCUAAGCAUCAGGUAACAUCAAAUCGUACCCCAAACCGACACAGGUGGUCAGGUAGAGAAUACCAAGGCGCUUGAGAGAACUCGGGUGAAGGAACUAGGCAAAAUGGUGCCGUAACUUCGGGAGAAGGCACGCUGACACGUAGGUGAAGUGAUUUACUCA